RNAcentral lists this ribosomal RNA (750 nucleotides) under uncultured Gammaproteobacteria bacterium. RNAcentral's name for it is "bacterial SSU rRNA". It matches the Rfam family "Bacterial small subunit ribosomal RNA", at positions 60 to 795 of the family's 1533-position model. The record is from RNAcentral. Lineage: Bacteria; Pseudomonadati; Pseudomonadota; Gammaproteobacteria.
AGUCGAACGGAAACGAUGGAAGCUUGCUUCCAGGCGUCGAGUGGCGGACGGGUGAGUAACGCGUAGGAAUCUGCCUGAUAGUGGGGGAUAGCCCGGAGAAAUCCGGAUUAAUACCGCAUAGUCUAUUCGUAGUAAAGGGGGCCUCUAUUUAUAAGCUCUCGCUAUCAGAUGAGCCUGCGUCAGAUUAGCUUGUUGGUGAGGUAAAAGCUCACCAAGGCAACGAUCUGUAGCUGGUCUGAGAGGAUGAUCAGCCACACUGGGACUGAGACACGGCCCAGACUCCUACGGGAGGCAGCAGUGGGGAAUAUUGGACAAUGGGGGAAACCCUGAUCCAGCAAUGCCGCGUGUGUGAAGAAGGCCCUAGGGUUGUAAAGCACUUUUAGUAGUGAGGAAGGCUCAGUAGUUAAUACCUGCUGGGAUUGACGUUAGCUACAGAAAAAGCACCGGCUAAUUUCGUGCCAGCAGCCGCGGUAAUACGAAAGGUGCAAGCGUUAAUCGGAAUUACUGGGCGUAAAGCGCGCGUAGGCGCCUUGGUAAGUUGGAUGUGAAAGCCCCGGGCUCAACCUGGGAACUGCAUCCAAAACUGCCUAGCUAGAGUAUGGUAGAGGAUGGCGGAAUUUCCUGUGUAGCGGUGAAAUGCGUAGAUAUAGGAAGGAAUACCGAUGGCGAAGGCAGCUUUCUGGACUAAUACUGACACUGAGGUACGAAAGCGUGGGUAGCAAACAGGAUUAGAUACCCUGGUAGAAGGGC